Long non-coding RNA from Oncorhynchus tshawytscha (Chinook salmon), 465 nucleotides. NCBI's taxonomy places the organism in Eukaryota, Metazoa, Chordata, Actinopteri, Salmoniformes, Salmonidae. The record is from Ensembl.
CAGUAGGGUGUGAUAGGGAUGGUAACAGCAGCAUGUGGUAGUGAUUCGGUAUUUUAACAGCAGGGUGUGGUAGGGAUGGUAACAGCAGCAUGUGGUAGUGAUUAGGUAUUUUAACAGUAGGGUGUGGUAGGGUUGGUAACAGCAGCAUGUGGUAGGGAUUAGGUAUUUUAACAGUAGGGUGUGGUAGGGAUGGUAACAGCAGCAUGUGGUAGUGAUUCGGUAUUUUAACAGCAGGGUGUGGUAGGGAUGGUAACAGCAGCAUGUGGUAGUGAUUAGGUAUUUUAACAGUAGGGUGUGGUAGGGUUGGUAACAGCAGCAUGUGGUAGGGAUUAGGUAUUUUAACAGUAGGGUGUGGUAUGGAUGGUAACAGCAGGGUGUGGUAGGGAUGGUAACAGCAGCAUGUGGUAGGGAUUAGGGAUUUUAACAGCAGGGUGUGGUAGGGAUGGUAACAGCAGCAUGUGGUAG